Molecule: small nuclear RNA, 234 nt
Filed under: Rattus norvegicus (Norway rat)
Lineage: Eukaryota; Metazoa; Chordata; Mammalia; Rodentia; Muridae
Description: 7SK RNA
Rfam family: 7SK RNA
About the family: 7SK was discovered as an abundant small nuclear RNA in the mid-70s but a possible function has only recently been suggested. Two independent studies have found that 7SK RNA binds the CDK9/cyclin T complex (known as elongation factor P-TEFb).
Source: Rfam by way of RNAcentral
AGGCGCGUGCCCACCUGUUUCCUCACUGUGUUCCUCCCAGAGCUGCAUGCCUAGUUGAAGAUGACCUUCCCCAGUAGAGGAGGACCAGUUUGGGGUCAAGCUUACACAAGCAACUGCAUCUUCCUGCUACAACAUCUAAACACACUCUGAAUAAGCCCAUGCGUUCCCAAUCUCCUCUGACAGGUCUGUAGAGAGAACCUUGUCUGUCUGUCUCACAGGUGGUAGCGUCUAGGU